RNAcentral lists this ribosomal RNA (758 nucleotides) under uncultured Actinomyces sp. RNAcentral's name for it is "bacterial SSU rRNA". It matches the Rfam family "Bacterial small subunit ribosomal RNA", at positions 28 to 776 of the family's 1533-position model. Lineage: Bacteria; Bacillati; Actinomycetota; Actinomycetes; Actinomycetales; Actinomycetaceae. The record is from RNAcentral.
GACGAACGCUGGCGGCGUGCUUAACACAUGCAAGUCGAACGAAAAUACCAAGCUUGCUUGGUUGAUUAGUGGCGAACGGGUGAGUAACACGUGAGUAACCUGCCCUUUACUUUUCCUGGAUAACUGCUCGAAAGGGUAGCUAAUACGGGAUAUUCUGCCCGGCCUGCAUGGGUUGGUUUGGAAAGGUUGUUUUUUCUGGUGAGGGAUGGGCUCGCGGCCUAUCAGCUUGUUGGUGGGGUGAUGGCCUACCAAGGCUUUGACGGGUAGCCGGCCUGAGAGGGUGGACGGUCACACUGGGACUGAGAUACGGCCCAGACUCCUACGGGAGGCAGCAGUGGGGAAUAUUGCACAAUGGGCGCAAGCCUGAUGCAGCGACGCCGCGUGAGGGAUGAAGGCCUUCGGGUUGUAAACCUCUUUCGUCAGGGAACAAGGCACUACGUUUUGGUGGUGUUGAGGGUACCUGGAUAAGAAGCGCCGGCUAACUACGUGCCAGCAGCCGCGGUAAUACGUAGGGCGCAAGCGUUGUCCGGAAUUAUUGGGCGUAAAGAGCUCGUAGGCGGCUGGUCGCGUCUGUCGUGAAAACUUCCGGCUCAACCGGGGGCUUGCGGUGGGUACGGGCCGGCUAGAGUGCGGUAGGGGUAACUGGAACUCCUGGUGUAGCGGUGGAAUGCGCAGAUAUCAGGAAGAACACCGAUGGCGAAGGCAGGUUACUGGGCCGUUACUGACGCUGAGGAGCGAAAGCGUGGGGAGCGAACAGG